GGAGAGGUGGCAGAGUGGUCUAUCGCGACGGUCUUGAAAACCGUUGGGGCGAAAGCUCCCGGGGGUUCGAAUCCCUCCCUCUCCGCCA
RNAcentral lists this transfer RNA (88 nucleotides) under Opitutaceae bacterium. RNAcentral's name for it is "tRNA-Ser". It matches the Rfam family "tRNA". Rfam says of the family: Transfer RNA (tRNA) molecules are approximately 80 nucleotides in length. Their secondary structure includes four short double-helical elements and three loops (D, anti-codon, and T loops). The record is from RNAcentral. Lineage: Bacteria; Pseudomonadati; Verrucomicrobiota; Opitutia; Opitutales; Opitutaceae. RNAcentral also lists the same sequence under 1 other name.